Molecule: ribosomal RNA, 1248 nt
Filed under: Aggregatibacter actinomycetemcomitans
Lineage: Bacteria; Pseudomonadati; Pseudomonadota; Gammaproteobacteria; Pasteurellales; Pasteurellaceae
Description: bacterial SSU rRNA
Rfam family: Bacterial small subunit ribosomal RNA
Source: RNAcentral
CAGUCGGACGGUAACGGGUAAGUACUUGUACUUAUGCUGACGAGUGGCGGACGGGUGAGUAAUGCUUGGGAAUCUGUCUUAUGGAGGGGGAUAACGACGGGAAACUGUCGCUAAUACCGCGUAGAGUCGGGAGACGAAAGUGCGGGACUUAAUGGCCGCAUGCCAUGAGAUGAGCCCAAGUGUGAUUAGGUAGUUGGUGGGGUAAAGGCCUACCAAGCCGACGAUCGCUAGCUGGUCUGAGAGGAUGGCCAGCCACACCGGGACUGAGACACGGCCCGGACUCCUACGGGAGGCAGCAGUGGGGAAUAUUGCGCAAUGGGGGCAACCCUGACGCAGCCAUGCCGCGUGAAUGAAGAAGGCCUUCGGGUUGUAAAGUUCUUUCGGUGGUGAGGAAGGGAUGUUGUUUAAUAGAUAACAUCAUUGACGUUAACUACAGAAGAAGCACCGGCUAACUCCGUGCCAGCAGCCGCGGUAAUACGGAGGGUGCGAGCGUUAAUCGGAAUAACUGGGCGUAAAGGGCACGCAGGCGGACCUUUAAGUGAGGUGUGAAAUCCCCGGGCUUAACCUGGGAAUUGCAUUUCAUACUGGGGGUCUGGAGUACUUUAGGGAGGGGUAGAAUUCCACGUGUAGCGGUGAAAUGCGUAGAGAUGUGGAGGAAUACCGAAGGCGAAGGCAGCCCCUUGGGGAUGUACUGACGCUGAUGUGCGAAAGCGUGGGGAGCAAACAGGAUUAGAUACCCUGGUAGUCCACGCUGUAAACGAUGUCGAUUUGGGGAUUGGGGUUUAGCCUUGGUGCCCGAAGCUAACGUGAUAAAUCGACCGCCUGGGGAGUACGGCCGCAAGGUUAAAACUCAAAUGAAUUGACGGGGGCCCGCACAAGCGGUGGAGCAUGUGGUUUAAUUCGAUGCAACGCCGAAGAACCUUACCUACUCUUGACAUCCAUGGAAUCCUGUAGAGAUACGGGAGUGCCCUUUGGGAACCAUGAGACAGGUGCUGCAUGGCUGUCGUCAGCUCGUGUUGUGAAAUGUUGGGUUAAGUCCCGCAACGAGCGCAACCCUUAUCCUUUGUUGCCAGCGACUUGGUCGGGAACUCAAAGGAGACUGCCGGUGAUAAACCGGAGGAAGGUGGGGAUGACGUCAAGUCAUCAUGGCCCUUACGAGUAGGGCUACACACGUGCUACAAUGGCGUAUACAGAGGGUAACCAACCGGUGAUGGGGAGUGAUCUCAAAAAGUACGUCUAGUUCGGAUG